CCUACGGGAGACAGCAGUGAGGAAUAUUGGUCAAUGGGCGGAAGCCUGAACCAGCCAAGUAGCGUGCGGGAUGAAGGCCCUACGGGUCGUAAACCGCUUUUGCACGGGGAUAACACCCUCCACUUGUGGAGGUCUGCAGGUACCGUGCGAAUAAGGGCCGGCGAAUUCCGUUCCAGCCGCCGCGGUAAUACGGAAGGCCCGAGCGUUAUCCGGAUUCAUUGGGCUUAAAGGGGGCGUAGGCGGGCGUUUAAGUCAGCGGUAAAAUGGCGGGGCUCAACCCCGCCCCGACGUUGAAACUGGAGGCCUUGAGUUCUCAACAGGCAGGCGGAAUUCGUGGUGUAGCGGUGAAAUGCAUAGAUAUCACGAGGAACCCCGAUUGCGAAGGCAGCAUGCCGGGGUCCGACUGACGCUGAGGCUCGAAGGUGUGGGUAUCAAACAGGAUUAGAUACCCUUGUAGUC
This 459-nucleotide ribosomal RNA is filed under the name uncultured bacterium. Its description in RNAcentral is "partial 16S ribosomal RNA". It matches the Rfam family "Bacterial small subunit ribosomal RNA", at positions 338 to 795 of the family's 1533-position model. The record is from RNAcentral.